Molecule: ribosomal RNA, 92 nt
Filed under: Mustela putorius furo (domestic ferret)
Lineage: Eukaryota; Metazoa; Chordata; Mammalia; Carnivora; Mustelidae
Source: RNAcentral
CCCUUCUCCCACACCCCCCCCCCCCCCCCAUCUCGUCUGAUCUCGGAAGCUAAGCAGGGUCGGGCCUGGUUAGUACUUGGAUGGGAGAGGGU